UACAGAGGCUUCAAGCGUUAUCCGGAUUUAUUGGGCGUAAAGCGUCCGUAGGUGGCCAAUUAAGUCAGACGUGAAAUCCCUCGGCUUAACCGGGGAACUGCGUCCGAUACUGGAUGGCUUGAGUUCAGGAGAGGGAUGCGGAAUUCCAGGUGUAGCGGUGAAAUGCGUAGAUAUCUGGAGGAACACCGGUGGCGAAGGCGGCAUCCUGGACCGGCAUUGACGCUGAGGCGCGAAAGCCAGGGGAGCAAACGGG
Molecule: ribosomal RNA, 253 nt
Filed under: uncultured bacterium
Lineage: Bacteria
Description: partial 16S ribosomal RNA
Rfam family: Bacterial small subunit ribosomal RNA
Source: RNAcentral